Molecule: long non-coding RNA, 732 nt
Filed under: Phoenix dactylifera (date palm)
Lineage: Eukaryota; Viridiplantae; Streptophyta; Magnoliopsida; Arecales; Arecaceae
Description: long non-coding RNA (PDAC_LNC018777)
Source: RNAcentral
GUGUAGUUGGGGAAGAAUUCCAAAAACUUUCCAAAUCGGGCGUUCCCUUCCCCAGCCGUCCGUGAUGUUCUUGUGCUUCCACCUCCCUCCGCGUGCGCCUCUUCCCAGCAUCCGCACGACCCAGCAAUCCGCGAUCACCUCCGAAGCAUUCGUCCCAUGUCCGUGAUCAUCUCCCGGACCUCCCAGCAGCCGCGAUCACCGCCCGGCCGUCUGCCACCGCCCAGCUUCUUCCCGGCCGUCCGCUCCUCUCGCACAACCAGAUCUGCAACGCGUCCCAGCUACCCCGUAAUCAUCCCGCGAUCAACGCUCCCAUGCCCGUGAUCAGCUCCAGCGCCCGAGCCUGUGAAGCCUCCCAGCAUCCCGUCUCCACCGUGUCCGCUUCUCCCGUGCUCUCAGCCAUCUGCCGUGAUACGCCCUCAAUCUCCUCCACAGCAUCCGCCCGAGCCGAAGAUCACAGCAUUCCGUGAAGCGUCGCACCCAUCAGCGCCGGAUUCACUCCGUUGUCACCUCCUCUCCACGCGCGAUCAGGGGAAUCCUAACUUGUCCAUGGGCUCCGGGGCGAUCUAUAUGAAGAGGGCCUUCUCGGCUGGGAGGGGGGGCCGGCAUCCGAAGAGAAAAGAAGAGUGAAAACAGAGGAAGAAAGAGAGGGAAACAGGGUAUGCCCUGUUUUCGAAAAUAAAAAAAGAGAGAAAUAGAAAAAAAAAUAUGAGGAGGCUUAUCUCUUUGAUGGAG